ACGGCGAGUGAAGCGGCAACAGCUCAAAUUUGAAAUCUGGCUCCUUUGGGGUCCGAGUUGUAAUUUGCAGAGGGAGCUUUUGGCGUCGGUCGUGGUCUAAGUUCCUUGGAACAGGACGUCACAGAGGGUGAGAAUCCCGUACGUGGCCGCCGGCCUUCGCCUUGUAAAGCCCCUUCGACGAGUCGAGUUGUUUGGGAAUGCAGCUCUAAAUGGGAGGUAAAUUUCUUCUAAAGCUAAAUACCCGCCAGAGACCGAUAGCGCACAAGUAGAGUGAUCGAAAGAUGAAAAGCACUUUGGAAAGAGAGUGAAAAAGCACGUGAAAUUGUUGAAAGGGAAGCGCUUGCGGCCAGACGUGCCCGCGGUUGAUCAUCCAGGCUCCAGCCUGGUGCACUCCUCCGCGGGCAGGCCAGCAUCAGUUCGGGCGGUCGGAUAAAGGCCUCUAUCACGUACCACCCCUCGGGGUGGCCUUAUAGGGGAGGCGCAACACGGCCAGCCCGGACUGAGGUUCCGCGCAUCUGCUAGGAUGCUGGCGUAAUGGCAGCAAGCGGCCCGUCUUGAAACACGGACCAAGGAGUCUAACAUCUAUGCGAGUGUUUGGGUGUCAAGCCCGAGCGCGCAAUGAAAGUGAACGGAGGUGGGAACCCUUACCGGUGCACCAUCGACCGAUCCUGAUGUCUUCGGAUGGAUUUGAGUAAGAGCAUAGCUGUUGGGACCCGAAAGAUGGUGAACUAUGCCUGAAUAGGGUGAAGCCAGAGGAAACUCUGGUGGAGGCUCGCAGCGGUUCUGACGUGCAAAUCGAUCGUCAAAUUUGGGCAUAGGGGCGAAAGACUAAUCGAACCAUCUAGUAGCU
RNAcentral lists this ribosomal RNA (850 nucleotides) under Torula fici. RNAcentral describes it as "partial large subunit ribosomal RNA". It matches the Rfam family "Eukaryotic large subunit ribosomal RNA", at positions 86 to 952 of the family's 3401-position model. Lineage: Eukaryota; Fungi; Ascomycota; Dothideomycetes; Pleosporales; Torulaceae. The record is from RNAcentral.